AACGAACGCUGGCGGCGUGCUUAACACAUGCAAGUCGAGCGAGAAAGGGGGAGCAAUCCCCUGAGUACAGCGGCGCACGGGUGAGUAACGCGUGGGUAAUCUGCCCCCCAGCCCGGGAUAACGACCUCGAAAGAGGUGCUAAUACCGGAUGACAUCGGCCUGGCGCAUGCCGGGCUGAUCGAAGGCGGCCUCUGCUUGCAAGCUGUCACUGGGGGAUGA
Molecule: ribosomal RNA, 219 nt
Filed under: uncultured bacterium
Lineage: Bacteria
Description: partial 16S ribosomal RNA
Rfam family: Bacterial small subunit ribosomal RNA
Source: RNAcentral